CGCGUGGGUAACCUGCCUUGCACUGGGGGAUAACACUUAGAAAUAGGUGCUAAUACCGCAUAAGCGCACGGAGCUGCAUGGCUCAGUGUGAAAAACUCCGGUGGUGCAAGAUGGACCCGCGUCUGAUUAGCUGGUUGGCGGGGUAACGGCCCACCAAGGCGACGAUCAGUAGCCGGCCUGAGAGGGUGGACGGCCACAUUGGGACUGAGACACGGCCCAAACUCCUACGGGAGGCAGCAGUGGGGAAUAUUGGACAAUGGGGGGAACCCUGAUCCAGCGACGCCGCGUGAGUGAAGAAGUAUUUCGGUAUGUAAAGCUCUAUCAGCAGGGAAGAAAGAAAUGACGGUACCUGACCAAGAAGCCCCGGCUAACUACGUG
RNAcentral lists this ribosomal RNA (378 nucleotides) under uncultured bacterium. Its description in RNAcentral is "bacterial SSU rRNA". It matches the Rfam family "Bacterial small subunit ribosomal RNA", at positions 114 to 507 of the family's 1533-position model. The record is from RNAcentral.